UGUGUAUGACCAACCGCCUUGAGGAUGUCUGAGGCUAAGCUAAGCAGGGUUGGGACUGUAUAGUACUUGGAUGAGAGACUGCUGGGAAUAUCAGGUGCCACAA
This 103-nucleotide ribosomal RNA is filed under the name Periophthalmus magnuspinnatus. The record is from RNAcentral. Lineage: Eukaryota; Metazoa; Chordata; Actinopteri; Gobiiformes; Gobiidae.